RNAcentral lists this ribosomal RNA (253 nucleotides) under uncultured bacterium. Its description in RNAcentral is "partial 16S ribosomal RNA". It matches the Rfam family "Bacterial small subunit ribosomal RNA", at positions 524 to 776 of the family's 1533-position model. The record is from RNAcentral.
UACGUAGGGUGCAAGCGUUAAUCGGAAUUACUGGGCGUAAAGCGUGCGCAGGCGGUGAUGUAAGUCAGCUGUGAAAGCCCCGGGCUCAACCUGGGAAUUGCGGUUGAAACUGGCGAACUAGAAUCUGGCAGAGGGGGGUGGAAUUCCACGUGUAGCAGUGAAAUGCGUAGAGAUGUGGAGGAGCACCGAUGGCGAAGGCAGCCCCCUGGGCUGAGAUUGACGCUCAGGCACGAAAGCGUGGGGAGCAAACAGG